UAACUCCACUGUGGCCAUGGCUCCAGUGAAAAAACUUGUGGCGAAGGGGGGCAAAAAAAAGAAGCAGGUUCUGAAGUUCACUCUUGAUUGCACCCACCCCGUAGAAGAUGGAACCAUGGAUGCUGCCAAUUUUGAGCAGUUUUUGCAAGAAAGGAUCAAAGUGAACGGAAAAGGUGGGAACUUUGGUGGAGGGGUGGUGACCAUCGAAAGGAGCAAGAGCAAGAUCACCGUGACAUCUGAGGUGCCUUUCUCCAAAAGGUAUUUGAAAUAUCUCACCAAAAAAUAUUUGAAGAAGAAUAAUCUACGUGACUAGUUGCUCGUAGUUGCUAACAGCAAACAGAGUUACGAAUUACAUUACUUCCAGAUUAACCAGGACGAAGAAGGGAGGAAGAUGAGGAUUAAAUUUCAUUUAUCCGGAAUAUUUUGUAUGAGUUCUUGAAUAAAACUUGGGAACCAAAAUGGUGGUUUAUCCUUGUAUCUCUGCAGUGUGGAUUGAACAGAAAAUUGGAAAUCAUAGUCAAAGGGCUUCUCUUGGUUCGCCACUCACUUAUAUGUAACUUGACUUUUUUUUUUCUGCUUAAAAAUUUCAAUUCUCAUGGUAAUACCAGAGUAGAAGGAGAGGGUGACUUUACGGAACUGACAGCCAUUGGGGAGGCAGAUGCCGGUGUGGUGGUGUGGGCUGAAGGUAGUGACUGUUUGAUUUUUAAAAGUGUGACUGUCAGUUGUAUCUGUUGCUUUUCUCAAACAAUGAUUCAGGGAUACAAGUGGGCUCCUCUCGUUCAUUAAAAGAAAACGUGACAUCUUUCUAAGAUUCUCAGUGGGAAAAAGACAGUGUCAAUAAAAUGCGGGUUUCUGGGCCAUUCAUCUUACUUUCAUUUUUUGAUCACAAAUUUGACACACACAAUUAUGUCUGUUAAUCCUCUUCUUCCUAGAGAGAGAAACUGUGCUCCUUCAGCGUUGCUGCGUAGUCCGUCACUCUCCAUAAAGCUGUUUGGGGAAUCGAUUGUAAAAGUCCCAGGUUCUAAAUUAAAUGUGUACAGAAAUGAAUGUGUAAGUAAUGUUUCUACAAGUCUUUGCAACAAACUGUGACUUCGGUCUCCAGCAGAGGGAGCUGGAGGAAUAGUGCUUCCAGAAGUGGUCUCCCAUGUGGGGCCCAGAGAUGGCAGCCCCUGAUGGCAAAAGCUCUGGAGACUCUGGAGAAGCGGGGACACCAAGGAAAAGUAACUGGGAAGCCUCCCAUGCCAAGGAGAUGGGAGGUGCCCUGGAAAUAGCUGCCUCAUGCCACUUAGACCUUGACUGGAUUUAAUGUCAGAAGUUACUCUACAAACAGUGGUAUGCCGCAGUGCAGAGGCUAGACGACUGUGAACGGGGCGACCAAAGCUGGCAAAAGAAGAUGGAAUUGUUGCCAUGAGUGACUUUGAAAGACCCUGGUGCCUUGUGGUGCCCUUCUGAAAUUCGAACAGUAAUGCAGAAGUGUCUGCUUUAGAAUUUACAGUGUCUAAAAUUCAUGUUUUUAAAAGAGCUUGCCUACAGAUGGUUUCCACACCCGAAAUUGUGCCCUGUGAAUUGCAUAGCUGGAAGUUCAAUGCUCAGUCCAACCUUGGCUCCCAUUAAACAUUUGGUGCUCUGUGGAUUGAGUUGAACAUGUUGAGGCUUUGCAAUUUCAGUCGUGUUAAAGGCUCUGGCAUUUUUCCAUUUCUAUGCAAAUUUAUUUGAAGUAGAAUUGCUUGCGUAUUUCUUCUCUGCCUUCACAGAAAGCAGAGUUUCUUUGAAACUUCACUGAGGCAUCAGUUGCUCUUUGGCAAUGUCCCUUACCAUGAUUAUUAAGUUUGUGGCUUGAGUUUACAAAUUUCGUUUGUUGCAUUGAUGUUCUCAUGUAGUAAUUUUUAGUUUGGUUGUGAAAAAACCCUGGGCUGAAGUUAGCAUUUAAGUUAAAAGAAAAAAAAAAAACUAGUCCCAGAUUUGAAAACUUGUAAUAAAAUUGAAACUCACUGGUUUUCUGUGACUUUUUCAACUCUUGUAAUCGAGUUUUGAUCACAUUUUCUAUUAAAGUGGCCAACACCUGGCUA
Molecule: RNA transcript, 2069 nt
Organism: Piliocolobus tephrosceles (Ugandan red Colobus)
Lineage: Eukaryota; Metazoa; Chordata; Mammalia; Primates; Cercopithecidae
Gene name: 60S ribosomal protein L22 pseudogene
Exons: 1
Source: RefSeq, a predicted model, not a curated record